GGAUUGUGGCUCAGUGGUAGAGCGCUCGCCUAGCAUGUGUGAGGCCCUAGGUUCUAUCCUCAGCACCA
RNAcentral lists this transfer RNA (68 nucleotides) under Marmota monax (woodchuck). Its description in RNAcentral is "tRNA.Ala". The record is from RNAcentral. Lineage: Eukaryota; Metazoa; Chordata; Mammalia; Rodentia; Sciuridae.